Apodemus sylvaticus (European woodmouse) is the source of this 346-nucleotide long non-coding RNA. RefSeq lists it as uncharacterized. The transcript is spliced from 3 exons. The record is from RefSeq and is a predicted model, not a curated record. Lineage: Eukaryota; Metazoa; Chordata; Mammalia; Rodentia; Muridae.
CCUCCCUGUCCUCUCAGGGUAUCACCCUCCAGGAACACAUGACCAGCUGUGCUAGAGCUGUCCGAACCCUGACCUCUGAGGUUUCUGUGGAGACAUCUGUACAGAUGUCAAGAAGAUGCCGAGGUGCGGCCCGCCCAAUCCUGCCCACAACUCCCAGGAUCUGAGAGCAGCUGAGCAUGUGCGCCCGGGCGUCUGGCUUCUGAAUGGAAGGAGACAUGACAGGAUCUCACUGUGUGGCCCUGGAUGGCCUGGAACUCACUGUUGGCCUCAAACUCACAGAGACAGGUUCAUCUGCCUUCCUACUUCUGGAACUAAAGACAUAUGCCAUCAUGCCCAGCCAAUUAAA